GCCGCCUUAGCUCAGCUGGUUAGAGCGCUGGUUUGUGGAACCAGAGGUCCUCCGUUCAAUCCGGAGAGGCGGUACCA
RNAcentral lists this transfer RNA (77 nucleotides) under Hyphomicrobium sp. RNAcentral describes it as "tRNA-His". It matches the Rfam family "tRNA". Rfam says of the family: Transfer RNA (tRNA) molecules are approximately 80 nucleotides in length. Lineage: Bacteria; Pseudomonadati; Pseudomonadota; Alphaproteobacteria; Hyphomicrobiales; Hyphomicrobiaceae. The record is from RNAcentral.